AUUGAACGCUAGCGGCAUGCCUUACACAUGCAAGUCGAACGGAGUGGCGAACGGGUGAGUAAUGUAUCGGAACGUGCCCAGUAGCGGGGGAUAACUACGCGCAAGCGUAGCUAAUACCGCAUACUCUCUGACCGGCCGAUACCGGAUUAGCUAGUUGUUGGGGUAACGGCUCACCAAGGCGACGAUCCGUAGCUGGUUUGAGAGGACGACCAGCCACACUGGGACUGAGACACGGCCCAGACUCCUACGGGAGGCAGCAGUGGGGAAUGUUGGACAAUGGGGGAAAGCCUGAUCCAGCCAUCCCGCGUGUGCGAUGAAGGCCUUCGGGUUGUAAAGCACUUUUAGCAGGGAGGCGGUACCUGCAGAAGAAGCACCGGCUAACUCCGUGCCAGCAGCCGCGGUAAUUC
This 407-nucleotide ribosomal RNA is filed under the name uncultured bacterium. RNAcentral describes it as "partial 16S ribosomal RNA". It matches the Rfam family "Bacterial small subunit ribosomal RNA", at positions 30 to 526 of the family's 1533-position model. The record is from RNAcentral.